UAGAUACCAUCUCCUCAUAGGCAGCUCUCCGUUACCAUGGAAACAAAACUGUCUCUUUCUUCUCCCCUCCCCCCACCCAACCAUUGCCCCGACAACCUUUUUUUCAUAAAGCGCUCUCCAGAAGGAAGGGUGGGUUACUCCAGUCCAGGAGAGUGAGUCAUUGUUCACAUGACACAGUUCUAGGCUGCACACACAGAUGGGCCAGUGCUCUUUUUGCUUUUAAAUCAUCAUCAGAGAUGUUCGGUUCCCAGAAACCUAAAACUGGAAAGAAAGAAGCAUGGAGAUCUAAUCUCAUUUUACAAAUAAGGAAACUGAGGCCCACAGAAAGGAGGUGGCUACCUGUUAGUGAGUGGCAACGCUGACACUAGAAUUUCAGUGCCUUGAUUUCCAGUCCUGUGUGAUUUCUAGUAAAUCAUGUUACUUUUCUCUACCUUCAUCAAUUCCUGAAUAUCUUCUUAUGAUAGAAAUUCUCCCAUAGGAAAUACAUUCUUUUAGUUGAAGACCUGGAAUCUUGUUAGCAUAUAAAUACCCCUGGGAGAAGCAAUAUUUUGGAGAUCAGACUGGAAAGGCAUUGCGGUCAUGAUGACACUUGAGCGAUUGGAGCCUGGAAUCGGGAGCAGGGCAGGAAACGAGGCUGAACGGCAGCGCGCAUCAUUAGCUACCUUGACUGUGUCAAAUACCCGCUUCUGUUGCACUCUGUCAAAAAGGAAAGUGUGUAUCAUCUGCCACUAACUGAAGCACAGGGAGGACACAAUUGGAGAAAUUAACUGUCUUUCUCAACCAGAAAUUGUUUAAAAGAAAAAAGCUGCCUCAAUUUUACGCUUAUUUAGAAUGGAUGUGACUAUAGUAAGGAUAGCUUAUGAGCCAAGCAGCUGUUAGAAUUAAAGGAAAAGCAAGAUUUCAGAACACACUAGGCUAUGUUUAUUAAACAUAAAGCUAUAUAAAGUGGGAUAAUCUCUCAAUAUCAAAAUUCCACAUUAGAGAACAUACUUACUAGUUUAAAAUAUUUAUAAAUUCCAGAACAAGGAAACUGAGGAAUGUUAUAAAAAAGGAAAGCUACCACAGAAAAAUGUAAAUUACAGACUGAGAAACUCCCCAGAAAUACAUUUUCUCUUUAUUCUGGUGCUUUGUUCACAGAGAUGAUGGCAUAUUGGACUUACUUUUGUUUGCAGAGAGAAGACUCCUCAUCUAAACUUAGUUCUUUGCGCAUGGUUCCCUCAAUUUCAGCUGCUAGAGAUUCCUGAACAAAAGUUUGGAUUUAAGAAUAUUUUGUUAAAAUGAGCAAUGUAAAAAAAAAUGUUUUACAUGAUUGAUUACACACGUAAAAUCUCUCUCAGAUUGCUUCCUCAAAUCAGAAAGUGAAGGUCAGAAGAAGGGAAUUUGAAACUCAAACUAAAAAUAAAAAUGUUAAAAAACUG
Molecule: long non-coding RNA, 1418 nt
Organism: Monodelphis domestica (gray short-tailed opossum)
Lineage: Eukaryota; Metazoa; Chordata; Mammalia; Didelphimorphia; Didelphidae
Source: RefSeq, a predicted model, not a curated record